UACGGAGGAUCCAAGCGUUAUCCGGAAUUACUGGGCGUAAAGAGUUGCGUAGGGGGCAUGGUAAGUUGGUAGUGAAAGCCUGGGGCUCAACCCCUUACACAUUAUCAAAACUGCCAAGCUAGAGGAUGAGAGAGGUUAUUGGAAUUCCUAAUGUAGGGGUAAAAUCCGUUGAUAUUAGGAGGAACACCGAUGGCGUAGGCAGAUAACUGGCUCAUUCCUGACACUAAGGCACGAAAGCGUGGGUAGCAAACAGG
Molecule: ribosomal RNA, 254 nt
Filed under: uncultured bacterium
Lineage: Bacteria
Description: partial 16S ribosomal RNA
Rfam family: Bacterial small subunit ribosomal RNA
Source: RNAcentral